AAGAAAGGAGCAUGGACGGUUUAAAUGCGACUGGCUUGAAACCAGUGUAGGGAGGUUCGAUUCCUUCCUUUCUUG
Molecule: transfer RNA, 75 nt
Filed under: Pandion haliaetus
Lineage: Eukaryota; Metazoa; Chordata; Aves; Accipitriformes; Pandionidae
Description: tRNA-Ser
Rfam family: tRNA
About the family: Transfer RNA (tRNA) molecules are approximately 80 nucleotides in length. Their secondary structure includes four short double-helical elements and three loops (D, anti-codon, and T loops).
Source: RNAcentral